This 232-nucleotide ribosomal RNA is filed under the name uncultured bacterium. RNAcentral describes it as "partial 16S ribosomal RNA". It matches the Rfam family "Bacterial small subunit ribosomal RNA", at positions 104 to 334 of the family's 1533-position model. The record is from RNAcentral.
CGGGGUGAGUAACGCGUGGAUAACCUGCCUCACACAGGGGGAUAACAGUUAGAAAUGACUGCUAAUACCGCAUAAGCGCACGGUACCGCAUGGUACAGUGUGAAAAACUCCGGUGGUGUGAGAUGGAUCCGCGUCUGAUUAGGUAGUUGGUGAGGUAACGGCCCACCAAGCCGACGAUCAGUAGCCGACCUGAGAGGGUGAUCGGCCACAUUGGGACUGAGACACGGCCCAA